Belonocnema kinseyi is the source of this 1061-nucleotide long non-coding RNA. RefSeq lists it as uncharacterized. The transcript is spliced from 2 exons. The record is from RefSeq and is a predicted model, not a curated record. NCBI's taxonomy places the organism in Eukaryota, Metazoa, Arthropoda, Insecta, Hymenoptera, Cynipidae.
UUUCCCUUAUUGAGUUGACCCCAAGAUAUUAUCUUUGGUUGACCGAGUCUGUCUUGUAAUCACUCUAGUUCCAACUUUCAAGUACGCGCAAUGUACUUUAGUUAAGUUAAAUAAAUCUAUUUUGUUGUUACGCAAUCUGCUACUUAACUUCCCUGUCCAUUAAUUGCGGAUGUAGGUCGCAGUCGAUUUACUAAUAUCGACCUUUCAACCUACAGUCCGUUGACCGACCUUGGAAAAUGUGUUAACAGAUAUUAACGCGGUCAUGGCACCGCUCCCGUUCUGCAGUUGUUUUACAUAAUUCGACAAUUUUUAAUGCAUAAUCAGAAAAUAAUUAAGUCUAGCAAAUAUGAAAUAUAAAAAAACACGAUGAAAUAAGUAGAUACAAGGAAGCGUACCAUAACAGUAUCGCGGAUACUCUCUUUACGGCUCAGAAGUUCUUCAUUUCCGACGAAUGCCAAAAAGGAUUUCGAAACAACUUCUGAAAUUUACUUACUAUUCUUCUUUUCACAACUUAAAAUGCAUAAUGAUCGAGCUGAUUUCUGCUUUAAGGAACUUAGAUUAAACUAACUUAUUAGCUAUUGUUUAAUUUAAUUCAUUAGUCGUUAAAUUAAUUACUUUUCAAGCUACUUUCAAAAUACAGUAGUUGAAUAAUUUCCUGUACGCUUUUUAUUCAAAUUAAUGUUUAUUUUACUUACUUAAUUAAUAAUGAAAUAAGGUCGUUAGUAAACACAUGUAGUGUUAAAUAGUUUUUAGUUAUUAAGAGAUUAGUUUUUUUUUAAACUACUUCGUAAUAAAGUAGCUAAUUUUCAUUCAAAAAAUGAGAAAAUAUUACUUCAAAAAGGCAUUUAGAAUGAAACAAAAUAUGUUUAACUUUUCUAAGCUGCUUUAUAAUAAUGGAGCUGAUUAAUAUUCUAUAAAUAAUCUUUUCAAUUUUUUAUUAAUUAACUUAGUUUUGAAAUCAUUUUCUUAUUAAAAAAAUCAUGCAUUCAAGUAGAGACAUCAAUUAUUGAAUUAUAUAUUACUUAAUUAAAUUAAAUUACUUUUCUAAGCUACUUCGUAAU